Peromyscus maniculatus bairdii (prairie deer mouse) is the source of this 365-nucleotide long non-coding RNA. RefSeq lists it as uncharacterized. NCBI's taxonomy places the organism in Eukaryota, Metazoa, Chordata, Mammalia, Rodentia, Cricetidae. The record is from RefSeq and is a predicted model, not a curated record.
UCAUGAGAACAGAGAAGUAAUGACCAAUAUUGCCCAGGUGUAACCUCUGGAUUACAACCACCAGCCUGAUGGAAGCAGCUCCACGUAUCAGACAAGCCUCUGUUUUCAGUAGAUGCCCACAACCAGCCAAGCAAGCAGGUGGUAAGUCCCCACAAAGGGGGUUUUAUUUUAAACAGCUGUCCCGUUUCAGUGAGUUCAGAAGGUCAUCGUCUCACUCGCCAGAACCACCAGAGCAACUGUAACUAUGUGAGGUGGUGUCCCGGCCUGACACACAGCUACAGACAACAUGGGAAAAGCCCAGCAAACGAAAGCACAAGACAAAGACCAUAGCAGUAUCGUUUUACAAAUAAAACAACUUCUCUUUU